This 433-nucleotide ribosomal RNA is filed under the name uncultured bacterium. RNAcentral's name for it is "partial 16S ribosomal RNA". It matches the Rfam family "Bacterial small subunit ribosomal RNA", at positions 29 to 507 of the family's 1533-position model. The record is from RNAcentral.
AGCGAACGCUGGCGGCAGGCCUAACACAUGCAAGUCGAACGGACCCUUCGGGAUUAGUGGCGGACGGGUGAGUAACACGUUGUUACGUGCCUUUUGUUUCUGAAUAUCUCCUGGAAACUGGUUGUAAUGCCGAAUUUGCCCUUCGGGGGAAAGUUUUAUCGCUUUUAGAGCGGCCCGCGUCUGAUUAGCUAGUUGGUGAGGUAACGGCUCACCCAAGCGACGAUCAGUAGCUUGUCUGAGAGGAUGACCAGCCACGCUGGGACUGCGACAAGGCCAAGACUCCGACGCGAGGAAGUAGCGGGGAAUCUGACGCAAUGGGCGAAAGGCUGACGCAGCAGUGCAGGGUGAAUGAUGAAGGUCUUAGGAUUGUAAAAUGCUUUCACCGGGGACGAUAAUGACGGUACCCGGAGAAGAAGACCAGGCUAACUAAGUG